GGCUGGUCCAAGUGUAGUAGUGUUUACAACUAAUUGUUCAUAACCAGUCACAGAUUCCAUUGUUCUUUCUCCACUUCCACUGCUUCACUCAGCUAGCCUUUA
Unclassified non-coding RNA from Otolemur garnettii (small-eared galago), 102 nucleotides. It matches the Rfam family "Y RNA". Rfam says of the family: Y RNAs are components of the Ro ribonucleoprotein particle (Ro RNP), in association with Ro60 and La proteins. The Y RNAs and Ro60 and La proteins are well conserved, but the function of the Ro RNP is not known. Lineage: Eukaryota; Metazoa; Chordata; Mammalia; Primates; Galagidae. The record is from Ensembl.